RNAcentral lists this long non-coding RNA (548 nucleotides) under Homo sapiens (human). Its description in RNAcentral is "HSALNT0396104". The record is from RNAcentral. Lineage: Eukaryota; Metazoa; Chordata; Mammalia; Primates; Hominidae.
GCUCUUCUCCUUCCUGCCACCUUGUGAAGAAGAUAAAAAUAAAAAUGAAGUCACCAGCCCUCAGGGGUCUGUCAAGGCAACACACAAAAUCUCCAGUUACCUUCUGGUGGAUGACGUUUGGAGACACAUCGCGUCCGUCACAGGACACACUUCCGAUGGAUUUACAGCAACUCCUGGGGGUCACGAAGGUGUGUUCCAAGGCCACAUCUCCAACCUCACAGAGAGGACAGGAAGUGAUCAGUACCCCAACUAGCAAGAGUGGCCCGUUCAUUGGCCGAGGUUCUUGAGGAUAGAGUGGGAGGUGGGAGCGUCCCUCGUGCUGCCUUCAUUUUUCCUACCCUCAGCUCAGGGGUCUGUGCUAGAGGAAGACACACGAAGGCUACUGUGCCCCCACCACAAGAGAGGGAAACAGGGAGACGCGUGGGUCUGGAGCCAAGCGUAUCUCUCUGUACCCAUCGCACACGAAUUUGAAUCAUCUGCUCUUUGGAAUCGCCUACACCCUGCUGCACCCACGAUGUGGCUGUAACUCCAUUAAAGAAUUGAAUAUC